AAUCCAUGAUGAGGGCAUUGAGCUUGGUAGCCUUUGAAUCUCUCCCAGGCUUCACUGAAUCCUUCGAAGCCUUUCUGUUGAAAGCUGGAGAUCUCAUUUCUCAGCUU
Molecule: small nucleolar RNA, 107 nt
Filed under: Brassica napus (rape)
Lineage: Eukaryota; Viridiplantae; Streptophyta; Magnoliopsida; Brassicales; Brassicaceae
Description: Plant small nucleolar RNA R71
Rfam family: Plant small nucleolar RNA R71
About the family: R71 is a member of the C/D box family of snoRNAs containing the C (UGAUGA) and D (CUGA) box motifs. Multiple nearly identical copies of this snoRNA have been identified in Arabidopsis, and it is thought to function as a 2'-O-ribose methylation guide for 18S ribosomal RNA.
Source: Rfam by way of RNAcentral